AGCGCAGGCGGGAAACUAAGCGGAUCUUAAAAAGUGCGGGGCUCAACCCCGUGAUGGGGUCCGAACUGGUUUUCUUGAGUGCAGGAGAGGAAAGCGGAAUUCCCAGUGUAGCGGUGAAAUGCGUAGAUAUUGGGAAGAACACCAGUGGCGAAGGCGGCUUUCUGGACUGUAACUGACGCUGAGGCUCGAAAGCUAGGGUAGCGAAG
This 206-nucleotide ribosomal RNA is filed under the name uncultured bacterium. RNAcentral describes it as "partial 16S ribosomal RNA". It matches the Rfam family "Bacterial small subunit ribosomal RNA", at positions 568 to 773 of the family's 1533-position model. The record is from RNAcentral.